UCGACGCGUGCUUUAACUUGCGAGUCCGGACGAGUCCUCCAUUUGAUUUUAUGCUUGCAUAAAUGAUUUUUGGAUUCGGGACGAGUGGCGAACUGGUGAGUAACACGUGGGUAACCUGCCCUGAAGUAGGGGAUAACAUUUGGAAACAGAUGCUAAUACCGUAUAAUUAGUUGGAACCACAUGGUUCCAACUUGAAAGAUGGCUCUGCUAUCACUUUAGGAUGGACCCGCGGCGUAUUAGCUAGUUGGUGAGAUAAAAGCUCACCAAGGCGAUGAUACGUAGCCGACCUGAGAGGGUAAUCGGCCACAUUGGGACUGAGACACGGCCCAGACUCCUACGGGAGGCAGCAGUAGGGAAUCUUCCACAAUGGACGAAAGUCUGAUGGAGCAACGCCGCGUGAGUGAAGAAGGGUUUCGGCUCGUAAAACUCUGUUGUUAAAGAAGAACAAGUGUAAGAGUAACUGUUUACGCUUUGACGGUAUUUAACCAGAAAGCCACGGCUAACUACGUGCCAGCAGCCGCGGUAAUACGUAGGUGGCAAAGCGUUGUCCGGAUUUAUUGGGCGUAAAGCGAGCGCAGGUGGUUCUUUAAGUCUGUUGUGAAAGCCCUCAGCUCAACUGAGGAAGUGCAGCGGAAACUAAAGGGACUUGAGUACAGAAAGAGGAUAGUGGAACUUCCAUGUGUAGCGGUGAAAUGCGUAGAUAUAUGGCAGACACCAGUGGGCGAAGGCGGCUAUCUGGUCUGUUACUGACCACUGGAGGGCCUCGAAAGCAUGGGGUUAGCCCGAACAGGAUUAGAUACCCUGGUAGUCCAUGCCGUAAACGAUGAAUACUAGGUGUUGGAGGGUUUCCGCCCUUCAGUGCCGCAGCUAACGCAUUAAGUAUUCCGCCUGGGGAGUACGACCGCAAGGUUGAAACUCAAAGGAAUUGACGGGGGCCCGCACAAGUGGUGGAGCAUGUGGUUUAAUUCGAUGCUACGCGAAGAACCUUACCAGGUCUUGACAUCUUCUGCCAACCUAAGAGAUUAGGCGUUCCCUUCGGGGACAGAAUGACAGGUGGUGCAUGGUUGUCGUCAGCUCGUGUCGUGAGAUGUUGGGUUAAGUCCCGCAACGAGCGCAACCCUUAUUAUUAGUUGCCAGCAUUAAGUUGGGCACUCUAGUGAGACUGCCGGUGAUAAACCGGAGGAAGGUGGGGAUGACGUCAAAUCAUCAUGCCCCUUAUGACCUGGGCUACACACGUGCUACAAUGGAUGGUACAACGAGUCGCGAAACCGCGAGGUCAAGCUAAUCUCUUAAAGCCAUUCUCAGUUCGGAUUGCAGGCUGCAACUCGCCUGCAUGAAGUUGGAAUCACUAGUAAUCGUGGAUCAGCAUGCCACGGUGAAUACGUUCCCGGGCCUUGUACACACCGCCCGUCACACCAUGAGAGUUGUAACACCCAAAGACGAUGGAGUAACUCGGAGCUAGUGUCAACUGAAG
This 1474-nucleotide ribosomal RNA is filed under the name Apilactobacillus micheneri. RNAcentral's name for it is "16S ribosomal RNA". It matches the Rfam family "Bacterial small subunit ribosomal RNA". Lineage: Bacteria; Bacillati; Bacillota; Bacilli; Lactobacillales; Lactobacillaceae. The record is from RNAcentral.